RNAcentral lists this ribosomal RNA (664 nucleotides) under Bacillus cereus. RNAcentral describes it as "bacterial SSU rRNA". It matches the Rfam family "Bacterial small subunit ribosomal RNA", at positions 132 to 775 of the family's 1533-position model. The record is from RNAcentral. Lineage: Bacteria; Bacillati; Bacillota; Bacilli; Caryophanales; Bacillaceae.
UUAAGGUGGAACAAAUGAUUGGGGUGAAGUCGUAACAAGGUCCCCUAAACAUUUUGAACCGCAUGGUUCGAAAUUGAAAGGCGGCUUCGGCUGUCACUUAUGGAUGGACCCGCGUCGCAUUAGCUAGUUGGUGAGGUAACGGCUCACCAAGGCAACGAUGCGUAGCCGACCUGAGAGGGUGAUCGGCCACACUGGGACUGACCCACGGCCAACACUUCUACGGGAGGCAGCAGUAGGGAAUCUUCCGCAAUGGACAAAAGUCUGACGGAGCAACGCCGCGUGAGUGAUGAAGGCUUUCGGGUCGUAAAACUCUGUUGUUAGGGAAAAACAAGUGCUAGUUGAAUAAGCUGGCACCUUGACGGUACCUAACCAGAAAGCCACGGCUAACUACGUGCCAGCAGCCGCGGUAAUACGUAGGUGGCAAGCGUUAUCCGGAAUUAUUGGGCGUAAAGCGCGCGCAGGUGGUUUCUUAAGUCUGAUGUGAAAGCCCACGGCUCAACCGUGGAGGGUCAUUGGAAACUGGGAGACUUGAGUGCAGAAGAGGAAAGUGGAAUUCCAUGUGUAGCGGUGAAAUGCGUAGAGAUAUGGAGGAACACCAGUGGCGAAGGGCGACUUUCUGGUCUGUAACUGACACUGAGGCGCGAAAAGCGUGGGGAGCAAAACA